GUAGAAGUCCAAUCAACUUGAAACUUAGUAUACAUGUUCCCUUUGAUAAGAUCAUUCUAAUUUUAAUGCCAAAUUAGAGAAUUUAUUCCAAUUUCACAGUCCUUUAAACAUAGAAAAUGAUAGUGUGAGUGGGGCAUCCGUGUACUGUGGACACAUUCUUGUUUUUAUUGUGAUUUUAAGUUUUUAAGUAGCAGUUUGGCAAUUUUAAUUAUUUGCAUCAUUAUCAUUAAAUUUAUAUUAAAGUUGAUGAGCAUAAUGAUUUGGUCUUUGUAAGGUUUUGAAAUUGAAUGAAGAAAUGAAUAUAAUUUCUUUCACAAUGCUUAUCUAAAUUUGUAAGAAUUUCAAAAGCACAUUUUGAAUUCUUCUUAAUAUAAUAACACAUCUUUUGGUUUUUACUGUCAUAGAAAAAUUUUGUAGCUUCAAAGUGAUAUUUAUUCAUUGUAUUUCUUUAGUAUAGUUCUCCCCAUCUGUAUCUUAUCAGUUUGUGUUGAUAGUUCUUGCCUCUAGGUGUUUCACCAUUUAUUGGCAAUAUUUAUUAUUUAACAGGACAGUCACUGAGUCUGAUUAUAACAAGCACCUUACAUACCAGUAUUUAUCUUUUAAAAUUCAUUAUAAUUUCAUGAGAGUCGGGUGAAUUUAGCUCUUCAUGAUAUGUUUAUAAAAUUUGACUGAAAUAAGCUGAAAAGUUAUUAAGAUGUAAUUAAUAUUUAUCCUCAAUUGAAAGAUGUUUGUAUUUAAACCUACAUUUUUCAGUAUAUUUCUACUUUUUACAAACUCACAAAUAAGAUACUAGUUUUACAUUGAGCUACAGUAAACUCAUGAAAACAUGAUGAUAGGUACAUUUCAUUUUGGUAAUUCAGGAAAUUUUAUCUUAAGUUUGAAACACCUCACAUUUUUACCAUGUUUGGAUAAACAAUUGGUAUUGUAAUUAUCGGAUUUAUGGAUUUCCUUAUGGGAUUAAAACUUGAAGAUUACCAGCUACACUUAUAACAGAAUAUGUUUUUAUUUAGUUGAUGAAGAUUGUCAUAUUAUCAGUAUUAUGUUAGGUAUGUGAUUUUUGUUGUUGUUUGUUCAGUGAGAGAAUGUGACAACAUUGUGAUGUAACUUAAUUGUACAUAUCAUAAAAAGGUUACAGAAUUGUAGACAAUAUAUAUUUAAUAAUUAAAAUAAUUUAUCUUCUAA
RNAcentral lists this long non-coding RNA (1182 nucleotides) under Mytilus galloprovincialis (Mediterranean mussel). Lineage: Eukaryota; Metazoa; Mollusca; Bivalvia; Mytilida; Mytilidae. The record is from RNAcentral.